RNAcentral lists this unclassified non-coding RNA (1485 nucleotides) under uncultured fungus. Its description in RNAcentral is "sequence contains 18S rRNA gene, ITS1, 5.8S rRNA gene, ITS2, 28S rRNA gene". The stretch from base 544 to 1485 matches the Rfam family "Eukaryotic large subunit ribosomal RNA", at positions 1 to 961 of the family's 3401-position model. Lineage: Eukaryota; Fungi. The record is from RNAcentral.
AGAUGGAUCAUUCACAAUGAAUGCUUACACAAUCUGGUGCAUGCUUGCAUGCGAUCUUGGGAAAAACAAAUUUAAGGCAAUUGGUUUUUGGCUUGGAACAAACGAACAAAAGUCAAGUGGUUAUUGACUCGGACUAAACGAACUGAAAGCAAGUGGUUAUUGACUCGGACUAAACGAACUGAAAGCAAGUGGUUAUUGGAUUGGACUAAACGAACUGAAAGCAAGUGGUGAUUAUCUCAAAUCAAAGUGUAUGGUUAAUUUCACGACUUUCAGCGAUGGAUGUCUCGGAUCUCGUAACGAUGAAGGACGCAGCUAGCUGCGAUACGCAGUGUGACUUGCAAACUUCUGAGAAUCACUAGAUUUUUGAACGCAAAAGGCACUCUUGGGCUCUGCUCAGGAGUAUGCUCACUUCAGUGCUUUAUAUUUCUGUUGUCUUAAUUGGUAGACAACGUGGCUAGUCGCUGUUCUUACGGCCUCUGAAAUCGAAUGGUCUUCGACUCUUUGGUGAACCCAUAGAGUUAAUGGUCAAGUUGUUAUUCAAACAAGCCUGAAUUUGAGCAAGGCUACCCGCUGAAUUUAAGCAUAUUAUUAAGCGGAGGAAGAGAAACUAACUAGGAUUCCCUUAGUAACGGCGAGUGAACAGGGAAGAGCUCAAACUGAAAAUCGGCAGCUUGCUGUUGAAUUGUAGUCUCGCGAAGUGCAACCUGUGUUUGUUCUGGGCUAAGUCUCUUGGAAAAGAGUACCAAAGAGGGUGAAAGUCCCGUCUUUGCCCAGAAACAUUCACGUUCGGUGCAUUUUCAAAGAGUCGCGUUCCUUGCGAUUGGAGCGCUAAGUGGGUGAUAAAUUUCAUCUAAAGCUAAAUACUAACGAGAUUCCGAUAGCAUACAAGUACCGUGAGGGAAAGAUGAAAAGGACUUUGAAAAGAGAGUUAAAAGGAACUGAAAUCGCUGAAAGGGAAGCAGACAGUCUUGACCGUCCCGCAAAUCUGGGAGUUUGACUUAGUCUAUAUGGCUGGUUUUGAACGCUAGAGUUCUGCGGUGACUCUGGGUGAGGUCGACGAAAUCGAGUGAAGCGAAUGUGUGUACCUCAAUGGGGUCACUUUCUCGCUGUUUCCUAUUUUAUCGAUCUUUGCGCUAUUGCGACACCUUAGCGGUUGCAUUAUAGUAUCCCAGAGAUUUUCAUUUCUGUUUGUCCCGUCUUGAAACACGGACCAAGGAGUCUAACUUAUGUACGAGUACAAGGGUGAAAAACCCACGUGCGAAAUGAAAGUAAUUGUCAGGAAGGGCAACCCGCACUGACGCCCGGCUAUCAAGCUGAGGCUGAGCAUAUAGGUUAGGACCCGAAAGAUGGUGAACUAUGCCUGAGUAGGGUGAAGCCAGAGGAAACUCUGGUGGAAGCUCGUAGCGAUACUGACGUGCAAAUCGUUCGUCAAACUUGGGUAUAGGGGCGAAAGACUAAUCGAACCAUCUAGUAGCUGGUUCCCUC